This is a long non-coding RNA of Rhineura floridana, 971 nucleotides long. RefSeq lists it as uncharacterized. Lineage: Eukaryota; Metazoa; Chordata; Lepidosauria; Squamata; Rhineuridae. The transcript has 3 exons. The record is from RefSeq and is a predicted model, not a curated record.
UCUGUGGGUUCUCCACUUGCAAGUGACAAUAAACUAGGCCUUGGUUGCUAUUCUGAGUCUCCGUUGUUUGAUAUUGGGCCUCAACCAGCGGGAACGAACCUUACUUCUAGUGUAACAAGACCAUUGUGGCUGCUGGUGCAUGGGGCAGCAAACCAGGUUCAUGACAGCAGUGGGUGCCAGGAGGAGCCAAACCUCUUUCUCCCCUACCAUUCUUCAAAUCCAAAUACAUCAAACAUACAGAUUUAUUUAUUCUGUGCCCUUCAUUCUCCCUGUAAGCUGGUAUGACUGGAAUAAAUCUGCUGGUAUCAACUGAGCAGAAUUCAUUCUUCACAUAAGGAAGAAGGCCUUUGAUGCCUUGUAGACUACAUACAUUGGACAAGCAACAUUUUAAAAAAAAAUCCUUGCAGUCAUUGAAGAUUUUUAUCCACAUGAGGAGCUGUGUGAGCACCAUAUUCAAAUCAGUUGGACAUGUAAUUGCAUUACAUGAAAAUUCAACAGCUGGAAAGUAUUUUCUUUUGUGAGCUAUGGGCCAUAUGUGAAGCUGGAUCUAUGUAUACAAAUGAAAUUCCCUCAGCACAUUAGCUAUUGAAAAGAAACUGGAGUGAUAGAGAAAUGAAUCUGUUCUUAUUUUUGCAUAAAGCUCUCGAUAUUCAUAUGUCCAGAUGGCAUACAAGAAUCAGUCAGCAGAAAAAACAAAAUUGUUUGACGAUAUGUAGCUUUUCAUGGUAGGCUACUCCUCUCUGUACUCUUCCUAGCCUUGUGAUCAAAGAACUCUCCAAAUGUUUAAAAUGGAAAAAGGUUGAAUAAAUUAGAGUUUAAUUUUGUAUUGCCUGAGAUGCUUUACAGAUGAAUCGUAAUGACCUGCACACUGGCAACAUAGCAAUUGUAGAAGCAUGCUUUAGACUCUUUAUGUACUCAGCAACUCCUCAAGUUGGUGUAGUCUUUUAUGUUAGCCAUCAAUCCUUUCUCUG